ACAAGGUCUCCGUUGGUGAACCAGCGGAGGGAUCAUUAAAGAGUGUAAUAACUCCCAAACCCAUGUGAACAUACCUCAUGUUGCCUCGGCAGGUCGUGCCUCCCUCGUAGGUCCUACCCUGUAGGCUCCUACCCGGAAGGCGCGGGUACCCCUGCCGGUGGCCCAGGAAACUCUGUCUCAUCGUUGAAUUCUGAACCUAUAACUAAAUAAGUUAAAACUUUCAACAACGGAUCUCUUGGUUCUGGCAUCGAUGAAGAACGCAGCGAAAUGCGAUAAGUAAUGUGAAUUGCAGAAUUCAGUGAAUCAUCGAAUCUUUGAACGCACAUUGCGCCCAUUAGUAUUCUAGUGGGCAUGCCUGUUCGAGCGUCAUUUCAACCCUUAAGCCCUUGUUGCUUAGCGUUGGGAGCCUACGGCACCGUAGCUCCCCAAAGUCAGUGGCGGAGCCGGCUCACACUCUAGACGUAGUAAUUUCUCACCUCGCCUAUAGUUGGACCGGUCCCCUGCCGUAAAACGCCCCAGUAUUUAAAAGGUUGACCUCGAAUCAGGUAGGAAUACCCGCUGAACUUAAGCAUAUCAAUAAGCGGAGGAAAAGAAACCAACAGGGAUUGCCCUAGUAACGGCGAGUGAAGCGGCAACAGCUCAAAUUUGAAAUCUGGCUCUUUAGGGCCCGAGUUGUAAUUUGUAGAGGAUGCUUUUGGCGCGGUGCCUUCCGAGUUCCCUGGAACGGGACGCCUUAGAGGGUGAGAGCCCCGUACGGUUGGACACCAAGCCUCUGUAAAGCUCCUUCGACGAGUCGAGUAGUUUGGGAAUG
Molecule: ribosomal RNA, 811 nt
Filed under: Xylariales cf. JW38-4
Lineage: Eukaryota; Fungi; Ascomycota; Sordariomycetes; Xylariales
Description: eukaryotic LSU rRNA
Rfam family: Eukaryotic large subunit ribosomal RNA (bases 532-811)
Source: RNAcentral